This 526-nucleotide ribosomal RNA is filed under the name Malpolon moilensis (Moila snake). RNAcentral describes it as "partial 16S ribosomal RNA". It matches the Rfam family "Bacterial large subunit ribosomal RNA", at positions 1836 to 2619 of the family's 2925-position model. The record is from RNAcentral. Lineage: Eukaryota; Metazoa; Chordata; Lepidosauria; Squamata.
ACGUCUACUAUAUUAAGGCACGCCUGCCCAGUGAACAAUUAAACGGCCGCGGUAUCCUAACCGUGCAAAGGUAGCGUAAUCAUUUGUCUAUUAAUUGUAGACCUGUAUGAAAGGCAAAAUGAGGGCCUAACUGUCUCUUAUAACCAAUCAAUUAAACUGAUCUCCCAGUACAAAAGCUGGGAUACUUACAUAAGACCAGAAGACCCUGUGAAGCUUAAACUAAACUAUUAAACCACAUAAUAACUCCUUUUGGUUGGGGCGACCUUGGAAAAAAAAAGAACUUCCAAACAACAGUGAUUUUAACCCACCCACUACCUUAGGCCAACAAGCCAAAUAACGACCCAGCAUUGCUGAUCAAUGAAACAAGUUACUCCAGGGAUAACAGCGCUAUCUUCUUCAAGAGCCCAUAUCAAAAAGAAGGUUUACGACCUCGAUGUUGGAUCAGGACAUCCUAAUGGUGCAGCAGCUAUUAAGGGUUCGUUUGUUCAACGAUUAACAGUCCCACGUGAUCUGUUUUYCAAACCGG